GGUGCGGUAGUGUAAUGGUAUCACAACACGUUGUGGCCGUGUUAAUCUGAGUUCGAUUCUCAGCCGCGCCA
Molecule: transfer RNA, 71 nt
Filed under: Westerdykella ornata
Lineage: Eukaryota; Fungi; Ascomycota; Dothideomycetes; Pleosporales; Sporormiaceae
Rfam family: tRNA
About the family: Transfer RNA (tRNA) molecules are approximately 80 nucleotides in length. Their secondary structure includes four short double-helical elements and three loops (D, anti-codon, and T loops).
Source: Rfam by way of RNAcentral